This 1071-nucleotide long non-coding RNA is filed under the name Oryctolagus cuniculus (rabbit). RNAcentral describes it as "lncRNA (ENSOCUG00000031812.1)". The record is from RNAcentral. Lineage: Eukaryota; Metazoa; Chordata; Mammalia; Lagomorpha; Leporidae.
AUGCUGGGACCCAGCAGCCAAGGGCAGCCCUUGACUUGGACGUGCUUCUCGGCUCCCGUGUUGUCGUCCGGAAUGAAUGGGGCUUUUCUCUUGACGGGCUGUGUGUGCGGGCAGGGGCCACAGGAGACCUGCAGGAGAGACACAGGUGGCCUCGCGGUGACCUCGCUUGGCAGAGGGUCUGGCCGGGCGCCUUCCUCUCCUGCUGUUGUCCAAGCUCCAGUCAGCCUGACCUCAGGGCCCUAUGGACGUUGGGCUGUUUUCUUGUUUGCCUGCUGCAGCCAAAAGACCAAACCAUGUGGCAAGGGCGGGGGGGGGGGGGUUGGAGGAGGGAGGGGGCAGCAGGUGGGCCAUAGACCAGAGGGGAAGAAAACCUCGCCUCCCCCAGGAGAAGGGAGCAAACUGUGGGCAGAGUCUGAGCGUAGAGGGAGAGAUACUCCAUCCACUGGUGCACUCCCCAAACGGCAACAGCAGCCAGGGCCGGGGGCUGGGGCCCAAGCAUCUGGGCCCUCUUUGGCGGCCUUUUCAGGUGCAUUAGCAGGCAGCUGGAUCAGAAGCGGGGCAGCCCCAGACAUGAACCUGUGCCCCCAUGUUGGAUGCCCGUGUCACAAGCCUCCGCUUAACCCCUGGAGCCACGACGCAGGCCCUGAGGCUGAGCAGUUUUGUGGAGGUCAGGGCUGUUCCCUGCCACGUGGAGGUGGGGGUGGCCCUUCGCUGGAGGCUGGGGUCCCUGUGGCGGGACUGUGGGUCUCCAUGCUGCGCUCGGCUGUGUUUCAUUGUGACCAACACUGCCUGAGCUCUGAGCUCUGGGAAGCUGUGAGAGAUCAAGAGAGGGGUUCUACGGCUGUACAGGGCUGGGGUCUCCUCUAUAACUGGGGAUGCCCUAGGCCCAGGCACUUCCCAGGGCCCCGGGCAGCAGCCAUAGGCUGGGCAAGGAAGAACAAAGGGCUUGCUGUGCCCACCGGGGGCAUGCUCAGCGCUCCCUGCGAGUUGCUUUGCCAGGACUGGGGUCUGGAAAUCACGCUGGUGGGGUCUGGAGCCCUCACCGGGAGGAUUUUCACGGAAGAGUGGUGA